GUUGAUCCAGAUGUGCAACAGGUCCUGACCCGGCACAGCUGGAAGUUAUCUGGAGCACCAGGACUUUUCCCAGUAGAGGAAACACUGAGUCUGGAGUCGCUCCACAUCCUCGUCUCCGGCAAGAACCGAGUCCAUGACUCAAACAGACUUUGUGACGUACUCACGAACAUAUGGGACCUGUGAUCGGACCUCCUCCUGAAGCUGAUCCGGGGUCAGCUCUCUGACCAAAUAACAGCUUGUUGUCCCGUAACCAUGACGAAGCUCAGACUGAAACACCAGCAUCUGAAGCUCCUGUGGCAGGUGAACAGGUCAGAGGUCACAUGAUGCUACUCAGC
Seriola dumerili (greater amberjack) is the source of this 335-nucleotide long non-coding RNA. RefSeq lists it as uncharacterized. The record is from RefSeq and is a predicted model, not a curated record. The transcript is spliced from 3 exons. NCBI's taxonomy places the organism in Eukaryota, Metazoa, Chordata, Actinopteri, Carangiformes, Carangidae.